Molecule: long non-coding RNA, 609 nt
Organism: Numida meleagris (helmeted guineafowl)
Lineage: Eukaryota; Metazoa; Chordata; Aves; Galliformes; Numididae
Source: Ensembl
CUGAAGACAGGCAUCUCACCAAGCAUGCUUUGGUCACAUAGUAUGCUUGUUCCUGGACAAGCUGGCUGUGCUGCACAUGAGCCACAUGCAGCAUGUGGUGCUUGUCUGGCUAUGGCCUAUGGGGACUUCAGCUAACGUAUGCUGCCCUGACCCAUGGUGUUAUCACCUGGUUUCCCUGAUUUUCCUCCAUGCCUUCUUCUGGGUUGGUAUGUUCAAGGCUGCAGGCACGUUACUUAAAGGGUGAUAGUUGCCUCAGGUUUGUAUAGAAAGGUGAACAAUCGGCUAGACGAAUUUAUCUACAGUGAUAGUGCAAAGUGAUGUAGAUGCGUGAAGACAUUUUGAGUUGUUCAGCUUUUCUGGAAACCACGAUGAAACUGCUCACCGGUUCAGACAAUGCACCCUUUUGUUCCCCCUGAUUCAGAAAACAACAGGAAGAGAGGAAAGCAGGUUGCCACACGGGGCUUGGAAGAACUGACUGUCUUGUUAGGGUGGGGUUGGAUAUCAGACCUCGGGUUGCACCAUGAGAUAAAACAGAUUCAAGGAAAAGGCAGUCCAGUUGUGUUAGACCUCUGUUCUUCAGAGAAAUAUUGGAAAUCAAUAUUUAAAUAG